UGAAUCAAAACCAAAAAGUAUUCAGAUCUUUAGAUUAAUAUAACAAAGAAGUGUGUAAAGUUUUAAGCAAUAAUCAUAAAUUAUUUUUGAGAUACGGUGUGACAUGUAAAAAAACCCUCCCCUGUUAUAUAAAAUACUCAGGAACUCAAAAAUAAAAUUUUGAAUCAUCACCAAAAAGUAUACAGAUCUUAAGAUUAAUAUAACAAAGAAGUGUGUAAAGUUUCAAGUAAUAAUCAUAAAUUGUUUUUGAGAUACGGCGCGACAUGUUAAAACCCUCCCCUGUUUUACAAAAUACUCAAUAACUCAAAAAAAAAUUUAAAUCAUCACCAAAAAGUAUACAGAUCUUUAGAUUAAUAUAACAAAGACUUGUGUAAAGUUUUAAGCAAUAAUCAUAAAUUGUUUUUGAGAUACGGCACAACAUGUAAAAAAAACCCUCCCCCUUUUUUACAAAAUACUCAAUAACUCAAAAAUGAAAUUUUGUAUCAUCACCAAAAAGUAUACAGAUCUUUAGAUUAAUAUAACAAAGACAUGUGUAAAGUUUUAAGCAAUAAUCAUAAAUGGUUUUUGAGAUAUGGCGUGACAUGUAAAAACCCCCUCCCCC
Molecule: long non-coding RNA, 601 nt
Filed under: Mytilus galloprovincialis (Mediterranean mussel)
Lineage: Eukaryota; Metazoa; Mollusca; Bivalvia; Mytilida; Mytilidae
Source: RNAcentral